GUGAAACCAGCCUGACAUCCAGAAUGCUGCUCUUGAAAGCAAUCAUCUUCUCCUGCCUCUGGGUUUUUGGACAUGGGGAGUUGGAGCAACCUGAAAUAUCAGUUUCCAGAGUGACAGACCAAAGUGCCCAAAUAUCCUGUCACGUUUCCCUCCCAGAUUUUACCAAAGUAGAUAUUCACUGGUACAGACAGAAACCAAAUCAACACUUAGAGCACCUAACAUAUGUCCGGACAGACUAUAAUCAACGCCCCUUAGAAGGAAAGAACAAGAAAAUUGAAGCAAGGAAAAAUCUCCAAACUUCUACUUCAACCUUGCACGUAAAUUUCUUAAAGAAAGAAGAUGAAGCCACCUACUACUGUGCCUUCUGGUUAAACUCAGGAUGGAUCAAGAAAUUUGCAGAAGGAACUAAGCUUAUAGUAAUUCCCUCUGAUAAAAGCUUUGAUGCAGACAUGUCCCCCAAGCCCACCAUUUUUCUUCCUUCUGUUGCUGAAACAAAGCUCCACAAGUCUGGGACAUACCUUUGUCUUCUUGAGAAAUUCUUCCCUGAUGUUAUAAAGGUAUAUUGGAGAGAAAAGGGUGGCGAUAAGACUCUGAAAUCCCAGGAGGGAAACACAAUGAAGACCAGUGACACAUACAUGAAGGUCAGCUGGCUUACUGUGACUGGAAAGUCAAUGGAUAAAGAGCACAGAUGUAUUGUCAAACAUGAAAAAAAUAAGGGAGGAGUUGAUCAAGAGAUUCUGUUUCCUCCAGUAAAUACAGUUGCUACCACUAUUAAGCCUACAGAAGUUUAUUUGAAAACUGAAAAAGUUACUGCAACUGUUAAUGUUAGUCCCAGAAAAACGUGUUUGAGAAGUGAACAUGAUGUGCUACAGCUGCAGCUCACAAGCACGUCUGCCUACUACACCUACCUCCUUCUGCUCCUCAAGAGUGCCAUCCACUUUGCCAUCAUCGCCUUCUGUCUGUUUAGAAGAACACCUGUCUACGAUGAUGAGAAGAGUUCGUAACAAAUGAUGUACAACAGGAUUAUGUUGUCUUCACCCUUUAUUAUGCCAGUGAUGUCUGUUAAGGAUCUGGCCGGUCUUGCUUUUGAGCUUUGACUUCCUUGAAGUCACAUACGCAUCAUUAUUCUACAAAGGUUUUCAAACCAGGGAACAUGUGGAUCAACUUCACUCUACAACAAAGAGUAGCCCAGGGCAGCACCCAUUAUUCUGACUCUAGCCUCUCCAUGAGCCCAGAGUAUCACAGCCCUCAUCUAUAUAGCCUGCACCUUCCAAUCACAGCUCUUGGUAUCCUUUAACCACAUAAUGCCCUGAAAGCUUCCACUGUACAUGCCCUGAAGAGCCUUCUUUGCUGCUUGAAUUCUCUGCUGUUUUUCAAGAUAAAAUAAA
Molecule: non-coding RNA, 1388 nt
Organism: Nannospalax galili (Upper Galilee mountains blind mole rat)
Lineage: Eukaryota; Metazoa; Chordata; Mammalia; Rodentia; Spalacidae
Source: the annotation of a RefSeq genome assembly